AGGACUUAACAGUCAACAAGAUUUCUUGUUUGCUAACCCGUUAUUGGCUGCUACCCUUGAAUCUCCCUAUUUGUCAACAACAAAAAAAGAGGUUAAAUACUAUGAUCAUGCUAUCAUCAUUAUGUUGCCUAUAAGACCAAAUGUUGGGAAUCUGGUUAUCCCUCCAAAAUAAGGCAAUGACCACACGUUCAAUGCGGAUCAUUCGUUUUUUUCAUCGAACUUGACUCAUUCCAUCUUCUGGAUUGCUUAGGAAAGCUGAUUGGUGUUACCUGUUAUUUGGGUAAAGACCGAGAAGAUGCGGCUUACAUGAACAUCAUUUAGGUGGCCAGCAUCAUUCGACUACCCAACCGGCUUCUACAGUCUACUACCCUGCUCUCAACACAGCACGGAAUUCUACCAUUUAGAUUUUUGGCUGUUCGCGACGUUUGAUGGCGUUUCCUUGAACGAGAUGAUGAUUUUGGCGAGAAAAAUAUUGCGUUCUAACCUUCAGGUUCCUAAAUUUGCAUGGCAGAGUUUA
RNAcentral lists this long non-coding RNA (517 nucleotides) under Daphnia pulex (common water flea). RNAcentral's name for it is "uncharacterized LOC124195894, transcript variant X1". Lineage: Eukaryota; Metazoa; Arthropoda; Branchiopoda; Diplostraca; Daphniidae. The record is from RNAcentral.